Molecule: long non-coding RNA, 2253 nt
Organism: Fukomys damarensis (Damara mole-rat)
Lineage: Eukaryota; Metazoa; Chordata; Mammalia; Rodentia; Bathyergidae
Source: Ensembl
ACCGCGUGGAACUCGGGCUCCGUGUCGGGCGUGAGCACGUGGCGCUCGCCCGGGUCUCGCGUGAGGUCGAAGAGCAGGGGGGGAUCGUGCGUGGAGACGUCUUCCCCGGAGCACGGGCACACCUGUCUCCCGUAGCAGGCGCCCGCCCCCUCGGGCUGGAAGACGGGCGUCAUGUAGUGGACUUUCCACACUCUUCGUCCUGGCGGGUGGGGCGCAGGAGAGCGGCGUUAGGCGGAGAAACCAAAAACACCGAAGCAGCGCGAGUGACCGUCCACGCAGGAGCGGACAGAUGCCUGGUCCGGCCGUGCCACGGAAUAUCACACAGCCAGGACAAAGAAAGGACGCCUGCUACUUGCUGUGUCGUGUAGGGAACAUGAGGGCACGGUGCUCGGACACCGGAGGACACGGAGUGUGUGACACGUCACCCGCGUACAAGAUCAGGCAGAGGGGCUGAGACGGCAGGGUGCGGGGGCAGGGCUCUGUGUCCGUAACGCGGGGGUCACAGAAGCGCACGGACGGCUGCUUAUGGAAAAGGGAAGCCAGAGGGGCAGGGGCCGGGCUGCCAUGGUGCGCAGGGCGCAGGGCGCUUGGCCGAUCCCCAGCCUCGCCCGGCCCCGCGAGGAUCCGCGCGUCCUGAGAAAGCCGGGGAGAAAGGCGGAGCAGACAGGAAACGCACACCCGAACCCAGCUUACCCCAAGCGGUCCGGACGCGGCAUUUCCAGCACUUUCUGCUGCCUGGAAGAGAAAAUCGUGUUCAGAAGGCCACGGGGACCAGAAAGCGAACUCGUUCUGUAGGGGAAGAGGCGGGAUGCAACCGCACGGGCGCGCCCUCCGUCUCCGGUCUCCCCCGCUCUCUCCCACCCUCCUGGAGAGGACACGACACGGCCGCUCAGGUUUUGAUGGGGGACCCGGGCUGCCGACCCAGCCCCUCGGCGGCUGAGGGACAAACACGGCCACGGACCACGUGGACACGGCCUCUCCGUGAUGUCCACUUCGAUGAAAGCCCACGCGUGCGGGCAGGGCCGGAGAUUUCCGGUGCCUGCUCCAGCCGGUGGGAGCAUGAAAGACAGACAGAGCGAAGGGAGAAGGGAAGGAUUUGGAAGAGACCUCAAAGGCUCGUGAUGUGUGAAGUGCCGACCGCAGGUGCACGGACACUUGUGCCUUCCUCGCGGUGAGACCCACACGGGAAGUUUGUUGGCCUUCACAGCGCUCCUCUUCCCGCCGAGGGCGCUACUGUUAGGGGUGGAUCUAGAGGCCCCCCGAAGCCGCGUGGGGUCCCGGGCGGGAGCUUUGGAAGGAGUUUCUGUCCUCCGUGCCGGGAGCAGCCCCCCUUCCACGUCCGUGCGCCGUCUGCCCACCGCGCAGCGAGCUGACCGGCAGCAGGCGACCACACCUCAUGGAGGCGCCACGACGAAACCUCUCCUGUGACUCUCGUCUCAAAAAGAAAGGUCAGCAUCGAGAAAUCAAAGGAUAAGGCCUGCUGGAGAGGCCGCGGGGAAGAAGGAGCCCUCCUGCCUGUUGGUGGGAGGUGAAGUAGGACGACUGAAAGAAUUAAACGCAUCAUAUUACAGUGAUCUCUGCACACCCAGCUUUGUAGUCACAGAAGUCAUAAGAGCUGACUCUGCGUCCACCAGCAGGCGGGUGCAUGAAGAAAAGCUGGCUUUGCACACAGUGGAGUACUACUCUGCCAUCAACAAGGAUGAGCACCAGCCACCUGUAGGUAAACGGAUGCUCACUGAGGCCACAAUGCCGAGUGAAAUAAAUAAUGCUACUGCUACUGCUGUCCCCGCCACUAUUCCCGCAAAUGCAAACGGUGCGACCGAUGCUGCCGCCUCCUUUCCCCGACUGUUUCGUCUUCUGUCAGAACCGCGACUGCUUUGGCUGCAGAUUUCCAAAGGACAAGAGAGACCACGUGGUAACGAGGAGGGUUUUAUUAGGUCUGCAGCAGACCCAGCCAAAUCGGAGUCCAAAGUGCUGGGCUGUCGCCCAAGGUAAAGUUAUGAUUUUUAUGAUUCAGUCGGAGGGGGUAGGCCCGUCUUUCUCGUGGUGUGGUGAGCGAGUUUACUGGAACGGGGCAAGACAGACGCUUUACUAAUUUAGCUUUGCAAGACGACAGAGUCUUAUGAAUUGUAGGGUAACAGAAUGUCAUGAACUUUGUUUACAGGAACACAGUUGUCUAGGAGCAUGUGGUUCUCUGGGACUUGUGUGCCUGUAUGGCAGUGUGACACUGCCUGUCUUGUCGGAGACAGGGAC